AUUGAACGCUGGCGGCAGGCCUAACACAUGCAAGUCGAACGGUAACAGGAAAUAGCUUGCUGUUUCGCUGACGAGUGGCGGACGGGUGAGUAAUGUCUGGGAAACUGCCUGAUGGAGGGGGAUAACUACUGGAAACGGUAGCUAAUACCGCAUAACGUCGCAAGACCAAAGAGGGGGACCUUCGGGCCUCUUGCCAUCGGAUGUGCACAGAUGGGAUUAGCUAGUAGGUGGGGUAACGGCUCACCUAGGCGACGAUCCCUAGCUGGUCUGAGAGGAUGACCAGCCACACGGGAACUGAGACACGGUCCAGACUCCUACGGGAGGCAGCAGUGGGGAAUAUUGGACAAUGGGCGCAAGCCUGAUGCAGCCAUGCCGCGUGUAUGAAGAAGGCCUUCGGGUUGUAAAGUACUUUCAGCGGGGAGGAAGGGAGUAAAGUUAAUACCUUUGCUCAUUGACGUUACCCGCAGAAGAAGCACCGGCUAACUCCGUGCCAGCCGCCGCAGUAA
RNAcentral lists this ribosomal RNA (506 nucleotides) under uncultured bacterium. Its description in RNAcentral is "partial 16S ribosomal RNA". It matches the Rfam family "Bacterial small subunit ribosomal RNA", at positions 30 to 523 of the family's 1533-position model. The record is from RNAcentral.